Molecule: ribosomal RNA, 433 nt
Filed under: uncultured bacterium
Lineage: Bacteria
Description: partial 16S ribosomal RNA
Rfam family: Bacterial small subunit ribosomal RNA
Source: RNAcentral
AGCGAACGCUGGCGGCAGGCCUAACACAUGCAAGUCGAACGAACUCUUCGGAGUUAGUGUCGGCCGGGUGAGUACCACGUGGGAACGUGCCAUUAGGUUCGGCAUAACUUAGGGAAACUUGUGCUAAUCCCGAAUGUGCCCUUCGGGGGAAAGAUUUAUCGCCUUUAGAGCGGCCCGCGUCUGAUUAGCUAGUUGGUGAGGUAAAGGCUCACCAAGGCGACGAUCAGUAGCUGGUUUGAGAGGAUGAUCAGCCACAUUGGGACUGAGACACGGCCCAAACUCCUACGGGAGGCAGCAGAGGGGAAUCUUGCGCAAUGGGCGAAAGCCUGACGCAGCCAGGCCGCGUGAAUGAUGAAGGUCUUAGGAUUGGAAAAUUCUAUCACCGGAGACGAUAAUGACGGUACCCGGAGAAGAAGCCCCGGCUAACUUCGUG